GACGAACGCUGGCGGCGUGCUUAACACAUGCAAGUCGAACGGACAGGCCCUGCUUUUGUGGGGUGCUCGAGUGGCGAACGGGUGAGUAACACGUGAGUAACCUGCCCUUGUCUUUGGGAUAACUUCAGGAAACUGGGGCUCAUACCGGAUAGGAGCUCCUGCUGCAUGGUGGGGGUUGGAAAGUUUCGGCGGUUGGGGCUGGACUCGCGGCUUAUGCGCUUGGUGGUGGGGUAGUGGCUUACCAAGGCUUUGACGGGUAGCCGGCCUGAGAGGGGGACCAGCCACAUUGGGACUAAGAUACGGCGCAGACGCCUACGGGAGGCAGCAGGGGGGAAUAUGGCACAAUGGGCGGAAGCCUGAUGCAGCAACGCCGCGUGCGUGAUGACGUCCUUCGGGUGGUAAACCGCUGUCGCCGGUAACGAGGCGUGAGUGACGGUAAUUGGUAAAGAAGCACCGGCUAACUACGUG
This 468-nucleotide ribosomal RNA is filed under the name uncultured bacterium. Its description in RNAcentral is "partial 16S ribosomal RNA". It matches the Rfam family "Bacterial small subunit ribosomal RNA", at positions 28 to 507 of the family's 1533-position model. The record is from RNAcentral.